AUCAAUUUUUUUCAUGUGAUUUUCCUUGUUUCUUCUCAUUUCCUUUCUUUUCUUAAUUCUUUCUUCUCCAAACUUCGUGGGCACUAAACCUAAAGCUUUUAACCCCCAAUUUCUAGCACAUCUAAACCCUAGGAGAAGAAGAAAGAAAAAGAGAGAAAGGAAGAAAAAGCUUGGUUUUGUAAUUCAAGCAAGCUAAGCUAUGGUGGCCAUGGGUGUGAGGGAAUUAUGAAUUUUUUUGGGUGAAAUCCAAGCUAAAACCAAGUGGAAGUGUAAAGGUAAAGUUAAAGUACUAUGGUGGUGUGCCGAGAGAAAUAACGAACGACCGGUAAGUAGGAAUAGCUAGCUAGAUACACCUCCGAACAAAUAGCGAUGUAAUGUCCCGCUAUCGUAAGUGGCAGUGAAAGCCCAUUGGAUUUUAUCUGGCCAGAAUUUCGUUGCAGCGAGAAUACCUUUUGCUGCGGUUUCCUGAGUUAAAGGUGAUUGGAUCCUAGGACGAGGUGCUCCUCCCUAUCCAUUGCUCGGUAGGUUUAACAUGGCACUACACAUUAGCAACCGUGCCCAAAGUCACUCUGCUGACGGUCAAGGUCUAAUUAUGUGUAUAUGAAUACUUGAUGUGAUAUAUUAAGAUUCAUUUGUUAAUCUAUGUAUGUAUA
This is a non-coding RNA of Theobroma cacao (cacao), 653 nucleotides long. NCBI's taxonomy places the organism in Eukaryota, Viridiplantae, Streptophyta, Magnoliopsida, Malvales, Malvaceae. The record is from RefSeq and is a predicted model, not a curated record.